GACGAACGCUGGCGGCGUGCCUAAUACAUGCAAGUAGAACGCACAGUUUAUACCGUAGCUUGCUACACCAUAGACUGUGAGUUGCGAACGGGUGAGUAACGCGUAGGUAACCUGCCUGGUAGCGGGGGAUAACUAUUGGAAACGAUAGCUAAUACCGCAUAAUAUUAAUUAUUGCAUGAUAAUUAAUUGAAAGGUGCAAUUGCACCACUACCAGAUGGACCUGCGUUGUAUUAGCUAGUAGGUGAGGUAACGGCUCACCUAGGCGACGAUACAUAGCCGACCUGAGAGGGUGAUCGGCCACGCUGGGACUGGGACACGGCCCAGACUCCUUAGGGGAGCAGCAGUAGGGAAUCUUCGGCAAUGGACGAAAGUCUGACCGAGCAACGCCGCGUGAGUGAAGAAGGUUUUCGGAUCGUAAAGCUCUGUUGUAAGAGAAGAACGGGUGUGAGAGUGGAAAGUUCACACUGUGACGGUAUCUUACCAGAAAGGGACGGCUAACUACGUG
This 505-nucleotide ribosomal RNA is filed under the name uncultured bacterium. RNAcentral's name for it is "partial 16S ribosomal RNA". It matches the Rfam family "Bacterial small subunit ribosomal RNA", at positions 28 to 507 of the family's 1533-position model. The record is from RNAcentral.